GCAGAGGAACACGACUGUGAUCCUGAAUAAACUGUUUGAUCUGCUUCUGAAGAGCCAGAAAUCAGGAUCAUCAUGAAGAUCGUGCUGGUGUUCGUGGCCGUGAGCUUUAUUGCCCUCUCCUGUGCCGUUCCUGUUGAGGAGGAGCAUGAACGAGAGAAGCGCUCGUCCAGCGGUGAG
Hemibagrus wyckioides is the source of this 177-nucleotide long non-coding RNA. RefSeq lists it as uncharacterized. The record is from RefSeq and is a predicted model, not a curated record. The transcript has 3 exons. Lineage: Eukaryota; Metazoa; Chordata; Actinopteri; Siluriformes; Bagridae.